GGCCAAUGAUGAGAAGAGCAUGAUGAUUGAACAUCUAGAGAUGCACAGCUAUCGCUGACUCAACCUGAUCGAUAAUAUCCAGACCCACUGUAAUCUUGAUGUUAGUCAUUGAAUUUUGGACUAUCAUUGUAAGGCCGGUGGGACAUCAAAUGGUGCAGUUGACAACUUGGUAAUCUGCAUUGUCAAGUUCUUGAUGCUAUGAUCCAAUCUGCACUGACAUGCUACUGGUUACAAAAUUAUGAGGUCUUCGCUGGUACAUAAAUGGAAAUUGUUUUCCAGCAGUUUUCAUUAUCUGUUGAGGUGAUGGUCAUCAUCAUUUUGUAGCCAGUGAAUCUGGAUGAUCAGAUGUGAUAGUUUUGCAUCCUAAGUUCAUGAUUUUUCUUUAGUAAUCUGAGGCCC
Molecule: small nucleolar RNA, 399 nt
Filed under: Bemisia tabaci
Lineage: Eukaryota; Metazoa; Arthropoda; Insecta; Hemiptera; Aleyrodidae
Source: RNAcentral